This 913-nucleotide long non-coding RNA is filed under the name Rattus norvegicus (Norway rat). RNAcentral describes it as "long non-coding RNA NONRATT015355". Lineage: Eukaryota; Metazoa; Chordata; Mammalia; Rodentia; Muridae. The record is from RNAcentral.
ACUGAGAGAGGCAACUGAACUUAUACUUAAAAGCCUGUGUCAAAACAGUGCACCAAAAUGCCUUGAAUCUCCCUUUUCCUCCCGAAGUGAUGUGGGUUUUCCCCCCAUGCAGAUGAACCCCCGGAACUCUUGGGCGAACUCCAGUUUGACACCUUGUUCUCUCAUUCUCAGGAAGGGAGAAAGAAAGGAGUUGCUGUCAACAGGGACAGAUGGACUCCUCUGCUUCCAUUCACCAUUCCAUGAGCCACCUGAAUCUGGCCUUGUUAGGCUGUUUACUGCUUUCUCUGCUGAGAAUCUGAGGGUAUCUUGAUGGACUACUUAAACUGAUACACUCCCUAGUCUGAUCGUUCGAGACCAAGAUAGGGUAUCUUUUGUUUUGUGAGCUGGGCAUGGCACUUCUACAGCAUUUGCUCCAGAAAACUUAGUGUUCUGUGAAGCACUGUCCUGUAACGGAAUAGGGUAAAACGUGUGAGGUAGCCAAAAUGCUCAAUGGGUAAAAAGCAUUUGCUGCCGGGCCUGAGUUUGACACCUGAAAACCACAAGGUGAUAGAGAGAACGAGCUCCCACAAAUUGUGCUCCAUGUCCCCCAGUCUGUCUUGCAAAACAAACAAAACAACCAAAACCAAAUUUCGGAAGAGGUAAUGUUAUUAACAAAAGCAUCAGGUGGACUUGGUGGUACAAGCCUGUAACCUCAGCCACUUAGGAGGGUAAGUCACCAGGAUCGCUGGGCUGUCCUGCUUAAGGCAGGCGAUGAUGCUACAGCUCAAUGAUAGAUUUUUUUCCUGAUAUUCAAGAGGCCCUGGGUUUGGUCCUAAGCAGAGGUGCAGAGAGGGAGAGGGACUGAGGCAAAGACGGGGAAGCAGGUAGAGGAUAAUAGAAAGAGAGAGAGAGAAAGGAGAAGAAGAGAAAAGAA